ACAAAAUCCCAAACUGCAGGCAAAUACAUGAAAAGAUGUGAGGAAGGAAAUCAUUUGCAUAGAACAUAAGCUUGCCUCACAUCCUCUCAGUCCUCCUGCUACUCAGCAAUUCCUGCAGCAAACAAACUGCUCUGUGUGAGUUUAACCAAACAGCAUGUGGUGUUAGCUACAUUCCAUGCCCUCGUUUCAUGUCCUGGAGCUUUUCUAACAUGGGAGCACCCAGGAGUGACAGGCAGUUGACCUCCUUUGUGCCACUGAUGGAUAUUAUGGGAUGGGAGCUGUCAGUUAAAUUCUCCCCACUUCUACCCCUAGGACACAUUAUUCUGAGGCACAACUACGAUAAGCAUUAUCAUUCUCUUCACCUGGAAGAAGUUGUAGAGGUUCCAUCUCAGAAGACCAGAAACAGCAUGAUAAAGCAUGGACUUCCUCAAGAAGAAGAAAUCACAUUUAGAGCUGUUGAAUUUAGAACAAGGCAGAAGGAGAUGGUCAAACUAGUUUGUUCUACACCUUGUUCCAACAUCUUUUCAAGAGAAAAAUCACUGGCCCUAAUGGAAGGAUGUUUAUGUAACUAACAUAAAGAGAUGUCAUAAUCACCAAUUAGAAAGAGAGAAUGCAGAUGAGAAUCAGAGCAAUGCUCAGUGCUCACUGAAUCUAUAUUAUAGCAGGCUAAUGUUAGUCUAAGGCUGACUCUAUGUGCAAUGACUUAAAAAAUAUUAUUUUAGAGUUCUUCAGAAGACUUAACAGUGCUUUUGGCAUUUAUUCCAUUACAAUGUGCUAGACAGACAUGAUAAUUUGUAGUGAUACAAUUGUUCAAUACAGGUAACUUAUUUUACCAAGCUUUUCUUCUUUUUUUCAAAUCAAGAUGGUUAAACUGUUAUAGUAGGUAGCUAGUCAGACAUGAACAGGGCAAGAGAAGGCUCCCCUCACACAUACACAGCGGGAACACCAGGCGACCAGCAGAUGAUGGUCAGGCAGUUGUUAACUGAGUCUCUAAAACAAUAAUUGGUCACAGCCAGUACCAGGGGAGGGCAGUCUCCCCAUAGAUAGAAAACACCUGAAACUAGUGAUCAGCAGCUUCCCAAUAAGAUCUCAGAAGUUGGGUGAGCGGGCUCAAGCAUGCACAUUAAAAUGGCAGAAUUUAAUCAGCAAAUGACCUUCCAGGAACAUUUGACUGGUAAAAGAAGAACGCCUCAAGUGAGCAUGUGUGCAACUCCAGUAAACACACUGUACA
Molecule: long non-coding RNA, 1231 nt
Filed under: Homo sapiens (human)
Lineage: Eukaryota; Metazoa; Chordata; Mammalia; Primates; Hominidae
Description: HSALNT0073650
Source: RNAcentral